Molecule: non-coding RNA, 77 nt
Organism: Cupriavidus sp.
Lineage: Bacteria; Pseudomonadati; Pseudomonadota; Betaproteobacteria; Burkholderiales; Burkholderiaceae
Source: Rfam
UUGAGCCGUAUGCGGGGAAACCCGCACGUACGGUUCUUAGGGGGGAGUGGGCCAGCGAUGGCCUGCUCCUACCCUAC